CAUGCCCGGGGUGUUUACUGGGAUCUGGUUAUGUAGACACCACCUGCCUAGCACGCACCAAAAUUCCAGACUUUCAGGAAAACAGGUGCCUGUGCCACAUUAUUUGCACGGAGAGACUGUGUCCAGUGAACGGUUCUGAUCAGUAAACUGUUGACUAGGAACAUCCCGAGAGCCAAGUUCCCAGAUGCCAGCCAAGGGCCAUCUGACCUGUUUUGAAUCUCAAUUUCCUGAUACAGAAAACAAAGGAUUGUCAGCUGACCUCUGUCCUGUGUGCCCAGUGGCCCCAGGUGACGUGUCUUCAAGAAGAGGCUGAGCUGCGGUGCUUGUAAGGGUCUCAUUCUGUCACCCAGGCUGGAGUGCAGUGGUGCAAUGAUGGCUCACUGCAGCCUCGACCUGGGCUCAAGUGAUCCUCCACCUCAGCUUCCUGAGUAGCUGGGACCACAGAGUCAUGUGCUGUUCCUGGGGCUUGGAUGAUGUAGGGGAAGCAAGGUGAAAGUGGUAUCCCGUGGUUCCACGUUCUGUCCUGCUGUGGGGCUGUCCCUCACAUGCUUUCAGUGGCUGUUGCAGAGGAAGAGCCUCCGGAAAUCUGCGUCUCAGCCUUAGAUCCAAGGACAGUCCAAGGAAGUCCUAAGACCAUGGAGUUGGUGAUCUGGGAUCUGGGUUUGCUGAUAUUUCUCACCGUGAAUCUCUUGGUGGUGUUUGUGGGCACGAGAGGGGCAGAGAAUGGAGAGUGAGGCUACCACAUGAAGCGUCACCAGAGCUGCUCCCUGCUGCCUGCUCAGAGCACCCCGGAUCCACUGUUCAAUCUGCACAAGAUUCGGGGUCCAGACAUGGGAGACUUCAGCUGCCUCAGAGGACCGUGGACAGGGAAGGCCAGCCUCGCAUCCCUCUGUCCAUGCCUGGAAUGACUUUAAUAACCAAGAGUUUUAUUUUUGAAUUUGUAGCUGUCGUUCACUUUUUACCCACCCAUUCAAUAAACCUUACAGAAUUGCU
This 993-nucleotide long non-coding RNA is filed under the name Homo sapiens (human). RNAcentral's name for it is "small nucleolar RNA host gene 17". Lineage: Eukaryota; Metazoa; Chordata; Mammalia; Primates; Hominidae. The record is from RNAcentral.